RNAcentral lists this long non-coding RNA (810 nucleotides) under Actinidia chinensis (golden kiwifruit). RNAcentral describes it as "long non-coding RNA (ACHI_LNC004111)". Lineage: Eukaryota; Viridiplantae; Streptophyta; Magnoliopsida; Ericales; Actinidiaceae. The record is from RNAcentral.
AACAAGGAAAGGCAAACAAAUUUGCAUAAUUUAACAACAGGAAUCCAUCAUCAACACAGUCCAAAAUCCGCAUGCUUACAAGCCCCCUCCACACCAAUGUAUUUGGAGUUUUGUAGAACACAACAAAUUUUAACCUUAACCAGUGGUCAUUAAAAGCACAAACCAUUUAUGCUAUCAUUUCAAAAAUACAGAAACAAGUUCCAGUUCCAAAAUACCAAACUUCAAAAUCAAGAAAAAUUUACUUCUAGCCUUCUCUCACAUGGUGAGUAUGAGCUGAUACAACUUAAAAAAUUAACAGAAUACAUCAGGAGUUCAAUAACAUGAGCUAAUUGAUAUCAUUGCCAAAUGCCCCAAGCAGUGGUAAACUAUGUGCUCUGAUUAGUCUAUCAACAAAUGGACCAAAUAGCACAACCAAUUCAUGCAAUGAUUUGAUGGAUAUUGAGCUACACUGAUACACUUGUCUAAUACCAUAUGCACAUGAAAUUUGGACAAACCAUCAAAUUAGUCACAAAGUUCUUUUGAUGUGAAGAAAGACUGAAAAAAAAACAUAUUGAAAAAAAAUCCAAGAAACCUUAAGAGCACGUUUGGUUUGAGGGGUUUGGCGAGAAAUGACAAGAAAUGGAGAGAACUGAAUUUUCUCACACUUUUUGAUUGCAAAAUACGUUAGAAAUUGUUAAAAAUGAUGAGAAAUCGUGAGCUAGAGAAGCCUCUUCUAUUUCUUUUUAUGGUGAGAUUUGGUGAAACUGGUGAGAUUCAAAAAAUGAUUGGCUAUGUUAACAGGGAUGGGAGGCGAUGACCCCAUCAAAACUU